Molecule: ribosomal RNA, 425 nt
Filed under: Limnophora exuta
Lineage: Eukaryota; Metazoa; Arthropoda; Insecta; Diptera; Muscidae
Description: partial 16S ribosomal RNA
Source: RNAcentral
UUUAAAUGGCCGCAGUAUAUUGACUGUGCAAAGGUAGCAUAAUAAAUAGUCUUUUAAUUGAAGGCUGGAAUGAAUGAUUGGACGAGAUAUUAACUGUUUCAUAUAAAUUUACAAUAGAAUUUUAUUUUUUAGUCAAAAAGCUAAAAUUAAUUUAAAAGACGAGAAGACCCUAUAAAUCUUUAUAUUUAUUUUAUUAUGAUUUUUUAGAUUAUUUUUGUUUUAAUAUUUUAUAAUAUUUUAUUGGGGUGAUAUUAAAAUUUAAUAAACUUUUAAUUUUAUUAAACAUUAAUUUAUGAGUUCAUUGAUCCAUUAAUAAUGAUUAAAAAUUUAAGUUACUUUAGGGAUAACAGCGUAAUUUUUUUGGAGAGUUCUUAUCGAUAAAAAAGAUUGCGACCUCGAUGUUGGAUUAAGAGAUAAUAUUAGGU